UUAAGCGACUAAGCGUACACGGUGGAUGCCCUGGCAGUCAGAGGCGAUGAAGGACGUGCUAAUCUGCGAUAAGCGUCGGUAAGGUGAUAUGAACCGUUAUAACCGGCGAUUUCCGAAUGGGGAAACCCAGUGUGAUUCGUCACACUAUCAUUAACUGAAUCCAUAGGUUAAUGAGGCGAACCGGGGGAACUGAAACAUCUAAGUACCCCGAGGAAAAGAAAUCAACCGAGAUUCCCCCAGUAGCGGCGAGCGAACGGGGAGCAGCCCAGAGCCUGAAUCAGUGUGUGUGUUAGUGGAAGCGUCUGGAAAGGCGCGCGAUACAGGGUGACAGCCCCGUACACAAAAAUGCACAUACUGUGAGCUCGAUGAGUAGGGCGGGACACGUGGUAUCCUGUCUGAAUAUGGGGGGACCAUCCUCCAAGGCUAAAUACUCCUGACUGACCGAUAGUGAACCAGUACCGUGAGGGAAAGGCGAAAAGAACCCCGGCGAGGGGAGUGAAAAAGAACCUGAAACCGUGUACGUACAAGCAGUGGGAGCCUCUUUUAUGGGGUGACUGCGUACCUUUUGUAUAAUGGGUCAGCGACUUAUAUUCUGUAGCAAGGUUAACCGAAUAGGGGAGCCGAAGGGAAACCGAGUCUUAACUGGGCGUUAAGUUGCAGGGUAUAGACCCGAAACCCGGUGAUCUAGCCAUGGGCAGGUUGAAGGUUGGGUAACACUAACUGGAGGACCGAACCGACUAAUGUUGAAAAAUUAGCGGAUGACUUGUGGCUGGGGGUGAAAGGCCAAUCAAACCGGGAGAUAGCUGGUUCUCCCCGAAAGCUAUUUAGGUAGCGCCUCGUGAAUUCAUCUCCGGGGGUAGAGCACUGUUUCGGCAAGGGGGUCAUCCCGACUUACCAACCCGAUGCAAACUGCGAAUACCGGAGAAUGUUAUCACGGGAGACACACGGCGGGUGCUAACGUCCGUCGUGAAGAGGGAAACAACCCAGACCGCCAGCUAAGGUCCCAAAGUCAUGGUUAAGUGGGAAACGAUGUGGGAAGGCCCAGACAGCCAGGAUGUUGGCUUAGAAGCAGCCAUCAUUUAAAGAAAGCGUAAUAGCUCACUGGUCGAGUCGGCCUGCGCGGAAGAUGUAACGGGGCUAAACCAUGCACCGAAGCUGCGGCAGCGACACUAUGUGUUGUUGGGUAGGGGAGCGUUCUGUAAGCCUGUGAAGGUGUACUGUGAGGUAUGCUGGAGGUAUCAGAAGUGCGAAUGCUGACAUAAGUAACGAUAAAGCGGGUGAAAAGCCCGCUCGCCGGAAGACCAAGGGUUCCUGUCCAACGUUAAUCGGGGCAGGGUGAGUCGACCCCUAAGGCGAGGCCGAAAGGCGUAGUCGAUGGGAAACAGGUUAAUAUUCCUGUACUUGGUGUUACUGCGAAGGGGGGACGGAGAAGGCUAUGUUGGCCGGGCGACGGUUGUCCCGGUUUAAGCGUGUAGGCUGGUUUUCCAGGCAAAUCCGGAAAAUCAAGGCUGAGGCGUGAUGACGAGGCACUACGGUGCUGAAGCAACAAAUGCCCUGCUUCCAGGAAAAGCCUCUAAGCAUCAGGUAACAUCAAAUCGUACCCCAAACCGACACAGGUGGUCAGGUAGAGAAUACCAAGGCGCUUGAGAGAACUCGGGUGAAGGAACUAGGCAAAAUGGUGCCGUAACUUCGGGAGAAGGCACGCUGAUAUGUAGGUGAAGUCCCUCGCGGAUGGAGCUGAAAUCAGUCGAAGAUACCAGCUGGCUGCAACUGUUUAUUAAAAACACAGCACUGUGCAAACACGAAAGUGGACGUAUACGGUGUGACGCCUGCCCGGUGCCGGAAGGUUAAUUGAUGGGGUUAGCGGUAACGCGAAGCUCUUGAUCGAAGCCCCGGUAAACGGCGGCCGUAACUAUAACGGUCCUAAGGUAGCGAAAUUCCUUGUCGGGUAAGUUCCGACCUGCACGAAUGGCGUAAUGAUGGCCAGGCUGUCUCCACCCGAGACUCAGUGAAAUUGAACUCGCUGUGAAGAUGCAGUGUACCCGCGGCAAGACGGAAAGACCCCGUGAACCUUUACUAUAGCUUGACACUGAACAUUGAGCCUUGAUGUGUAGGAUAGGUGGGAGGCUUUGAAGUGUGGACGCCAGUCUGCAUGGAGCCGGCCUUGAAAUACCACCCUUUAAUGUUUGAUGUUCUAACGUUGGCCCCUGAUCGGGGUUGCGGACAGUGUCUGGUGGGUAGUUUGACUGGGGCGGUCUCCUCCUAAAGAGUAACGGAGGAGCACGAAGGUUGGCUAAUCCUGGUCGGACAUCAGGAGGUUAGUGCAAUGGCAUAAGCCAGCUUGACUGCGAGCGUGACGGCGCGAGCAGGUGCGAAAGCAGGUCAUAGUGAUCCGGUGGUUCUGAAUGGAAGGGCCAUCGCUCAACGGAUAAAAGGUACUCCGGGGAUAACAGGCUGAUACCGCCCAAGAGUUCAUAUCGACGGCGGUGUUUGGCACCUCGAUGUCGGCUCAUCACAUCCUGGGGCUGAAGUAGGUCCCAAGGGUAUGGCUGUUCGCCAUUUAAAGUGGUACGCGAGCUGGGUUUAGAACGUCGUGAGACAGUUCGGUCCCUAUCUGCCGUGGGCGCUGGAGAACUGAGGGGGGCUGCUCCUAGUACGAGAGGACCGGAGUGGACGCAUCACUGGUGUUCGGGUUGUCAUGCCAAUGGCACUGCCCGGUAGCUAAAUGCGGAAGAGAUAAGUGCUGAAAGCAUCUAAGCACGAAACUUGCCCCGAGAUGAGUUCUCCCUGACUCCUUGAGAGUCCUGAAGGAACGUUGAAGACGACGACGUUGAUAGGCCGGGUGUGUAAGCGCAGCGAUGCGUUGAGCUAACCGGUACUAAUGAACCGUGAGGCUUAACCUU
This 2903-nucleotide ribosomal RNA is filed under the name Escherichia coli. RNAcentral describes it as "bacterial LSU rRNA". It matches the Rfam family "Bacterial large subunit ribosomal RNA". Lineage: Bacteria; Pseudomonadati; Pseudomonadota; Gammaproteobacteria; Enterobacterales; Enterobacteriaceae. The record is from RNAcentral.